This 28-nucleotide non-coding RNA is filed under the name Mus musculus (house mouse). Lineage: Eukaryota; Metazoa; Chordata; Mammalia; Rodentia; Muridae. The record is from RNAcentral.
UUCCUCAGCAUCCUGAUAGUGAUAGAUC